UCGCGUAUUCUGUCAUCGAUUAUGUAAUCACAGUAACUUUGGCAAUUUCAUUCUAUGUUGCAUAAUGUUUUCAUCUGCUAUGCUAGCAGCGGAAAAUCCUUUAAAAGCUGACGCUAGUAGGAAUAUUGUGCUGAAUAAAUUCGACUAUUUCUUUACGGCUGUCUUCACAAUAGAACUGGUGUUAAAAUUGAUUUCAUACGGAUUUGUACUUCACGAUGGCGCUUUCUGUAGAUCUGCUUUUAAUUUAUUGGAUCUACUAGUCGUGUGUGUCUCUCUAAUAUCAAUUUUCUUCAAUUCGAAUGCGAUUUCAGUCGUGAAAAUUCUAAGAGUCCUACGUGUAUUACGACCAUUAAGAGCAAUAAACAGAGCAAAAGGUUUAAAGG
This is a long non-coding RNA of Musca vetustissima, 383 nucleotides long. RefSeq lists it as uncharacterized. The record is from RefSeq and is a predicted model, not a curated record. Lineage: Eukaryota; Metazoa; Arthropoda; Insecta; Diptera; Muscidae. The transcript has 3 exons.